RNAcentral lists this long non-coding RNA (1264 nucleotides) under Homo sapiens (human). Its description in RNAcentral is "long intergenic non-protein coding RNA 3133". Lineage: Eukaryota; Metazoa; Chordata; Mammalia; Primates; Hominidae. The record is from RNAcentral.
AUGUGACUUCUGCACCUCAUCUCUGGGAUGGUUUCAGUGGGUCCUAGAUUGCUUUCUGUGCUCCCUGGGACAGUUGGUGGCACUCUGUGAGACUACUCUGAGGUACCCUUACAAGCUACUCUUAAUUUUCCCCGCUGUUCUGCUUGUUGGACAUGGCAUCAUGCUGCAAUGUUAACAGUCUUUCAAAGCUAAGCGCGGAGGAUGUGAUUCCAUCCCUGGCAGUUCUUAGAUUCCCUACCAGUCCUUUCCAUCAUGGGCUCCUGUGGAAAAUGACCCCAGCUCAGCUCAGUAGUUGAUGGGACAUCUGAUUCAGGUUGGACCCAGCCCAGACAUCUGAUUCAAACAAUAUUCUUCUCCAGGAAUUUUGUAACCAGCACUGGUAAAGGGAGGGAAGUGCUCCCCAGUGGGGAGAGCUGCAGAAUGUGAGACUUGGAAACCAAAGGCCGCCAUGUUUUCUGUCUCAUGAUGGAAUCCAAUCUUCUUUGGCGGGGAAAAUAAAUGAAGCCAACACCAGACAACAUAUAUCAAGCAGGGGCCAUUGCUCCAGCCUGACUCCAGGAAUCAGCAGACAGCGCAGCCUCAUUCUCCACCUGCUCCCUGCAGUACAGCCUCAGAACCACACAGUUGCAGCCAACCAGCUCCUGACAUGGAACUUGAGCAACAAAUGCCCUUUGUUUUUGCAAGUCCCUGAGAUUUGGAAGUUGUUACACAGCAUUCUCUCAGCCAGAAGUGACUGACAUGGUAUCAUUGCAGUCUUGAUCAAUUUGCCCUAUGCAAAGUGUUUUUAUAUGCCAUGAAUUUCUGAAGAUAGAACUACUGUUAUUCCCCAUGCAGCAGCUGAGGAAACUGAGUCUUAGAAUGUAUAAACAACUUUCCCAAGGCUACUGAAAGUGAUGGGAAUCAAAUAUAUCUUUGCCUAACUCCAGAUCCCAUGCUUUUGAAGAUAUUUAUACUGCCUAAAGCUGUAACAGACUUUUCUAAUAGUCAUACAUGGCAUAUUUAGUUGCUCUCCAUGGGGAAAUAAUGACCUGACAUGGAAAAUAUUGGUGUACUUUAUUAUGAGAUUCUAAUAAGCAACCAUUAUACAUGUAUAUAAUAUAUACAUGCAACCUCUUAAGCUUAUGCCAUUCUGUAUGGAUGUUACUAGCUUGAAGAAAUUCUAAAGAGUAGGGAUAUUAAAAAUACUGAGCCAAUAAAGUAGGAUAAUUUUUUUAUUGUAGUCAAUUUUCAUUUAUAAUAUUAAAUUCUUGCACUCCCUUUCAAA